AUCGAACGCUGGCGGCAGGCCUAACACAUGCAAGUCGAACGAGUGGCGGACGGGUGAGUAAUGUCUGGGAAACUGCCCGAUGGAGGGGGAUAACUACUGGAAACGGUAGCUAAUACCGCAUACCAUCGGAUGUGCCCAGAUGGGAUUAGCUAGUAGGUGGGGUAUUGGCUCACCUAGGCGACGAACCCUAGCUGGUCUGAGAGGAUGACCGGCAAAACGGGAACUGGGACACGGUCCAAACUCCUACGGGGGGCAGCAGUGGGAAAUAUUGCACAAUGGGCGCAAGCCUGAUGCAGCCAGGCGGCGUGUAUGAAGAGGGCCUUCGGGUGGUAAAGUACUUUCAGCGAGGAGGCGUUACUCGCAGAAGAAGCACCGGCUAACUCCGUGCCAGCAGCCGCGGUAAUAC
RNAcentral lists this ribosomal RNA (406 nucleotides) under uncultured bacterium. RNAcentral describes it as "partial 16S ribosomal RNA". It matches the Rfam family "Bacterial small subunit ribosomal RNA", at positions 29 to 526 of the family's 1533-position model. The record is from RNAcentral.